UACGUAGGGUGCGAGCGUUAAUCGGAAUCACUGGGCGUAAAGGGAGCGUAGGCGGCGCGGUAAGUCAGAUGUGAAAUCCCGGGGCUCAACCCCGGAACUGCAUCCGAUACUGCCGUGCUAGAGGAUUGGAGAGGUAGCUGGAAUUCUUGGUGUAGCAGUGAAAUGCGUGGAGAUCAAGAGGAACACUCGUGGCGAAAGCGAGCUACUGGACAAUAUCUGACGCUGAGGCUCGAAGGCCAGGGUAGCGAAAGGG
Molecule: ribosomal RNA, 253 nt
Filed under: uncultured bacterium
Lineage: Bacteria
Description: partial 16S ribosomal RNA
Rfam family: Bacterial small subunit ribosomal RNA
Source: RNAcentral